UAUUGGUAAUAGCCCUUUCAAAUAAGCCAAUCAGAAUAGUCAAAGAACAACCCCCCUUGCUUCUGUGGCCCCUUUAAAAGUAGACUGUACCCGCUAUUCGAGGUCCCUCGGCUUCCCGAAUGCUGGGGGACCCUGUCAUGACAGAAUUAAUAAAAUCCUCAUGCUUUUGCAUCGGCUGUAGUGUGUGAGAUGGUCUCUGGGGGCGACUCCUUCUCGGUGUUUGGACGCCAGAGUCCAACAUUUGGUUCCCUGACCGGGAAUCAAAUCGCUCCCAGACACACUCUAGACCCAGUUGGAGGUAUAAAGAAACGAGCUCAUUUUUAUGUCUGUUUGUUUGUAUAUUGUGUUUCUGUUUCUGUGUAAUUGUAAAUUAGUAAUCUGAGAAUUGUACCUGCGCAGGGCUAGUAUUUGAAGGGGACCAGGCAGUGGGACAGACGUGUCCGGGAACACUCCCUGGCCCAGCCAUGGAGGACGCUUCACUGGCAAUUUGUGAAACUAGGAGCAACUAGGUCAUCUUAGUUUCUAGGGAGUGUGGCCCUUAUUGCCCACUCCCUUCCAGGUUCGUAUCAGUUUGUUGCCGCGCGGCUUCUGAUUUUGAGUUUAUGUCUGUCUUUUUGUUCUUGUGUAUUUUCAGUUCUACACCAGAGUGGUGGUGAGAGCACCAGCUUCUGGUUUUGAGUUUAUGUCUGUCUCUUUGUAUUUUUUGUUUUUGUAUGUCGGUUUGUCUUUGUUAAAAUCCACCUGCAGGAAUUCAGAACCUGGCACCGGCCCCCUGGCCAUCAUUAGUUUCCCUGAUUCCGAAAGCAGCCCCACUGCUGGAGGAGAUGGUGGCUGCCCCUCCCCAAGCCCUUUGUCUUCUCUCUUUCCUGUACAGGAGCAAAAGAAACCCAGAAUCCAGGCACCUCUGGUUCUUCCUGAUAUCCAGCCGAGCAUGACAGACUUCUCCCUCCUCCUCCCCUGGAGGAAGCACUUCGUUCCUGAGGAGCCCCGCUGGUCGGGCCCUAGCCCUGAAAACUUCGGUACUCAGCAUCCACACUGGGACAGGGGAAGGAUGAGAAUGACUUCCCAAACAUUUCCCCUUCACUCAGUAGCAGGCCAAUUGCAAUACUGCCUUUUUCUGCCUCUAAUCUUUACUUACAACCCUUCCUUUUCUUGGGACCCUCAGGCCGUGACCGGGCUUAUAGAAUCUGUUCUGGUUAUUCAUCAGCCCACUUGGGAUGAUUGCCAGCAGCUCUUGUAGGUGCUCCUAACUACAGAGAAAAAAAGAAUGUCCCAGGAGCUGACAGCAGGCCAACCCAAUCACCGGACAAGAAAGAGGAUGGGACUUCAAUACUCCAGCUGGACUGUAAAGAAAAGCAGGCUGCUCUCUGCCUUCGCCAUGCCCACCUUGCUGAGGAAGGCUUUGCAGCCACUGCCUGCUGAAUCCUCCCAGCUGCCUUGGUCACAGCCCAAGCCUGGGAACUCUGCUUACAGCCACCUGCCCCCGCAGGUAGCAACUGACUGAAGCGAGGAGGGGCCCGGGAGGUUCCGGAGCCCAAUUCCAAACAGCCUUCCCGAGCUGCUUGCAAGUUUCACAGAGAACAACUGCCCCCAGCUCCCAGACCGCAGCUGUGGAAAGCUUGGGGUUCAGCAAUGCCAAGGAGAGCCGGUUUUGAUGGCGCAUGCUGGUAAGAAGGCAGGGCAGCAAUGGUAAAUGAGCUGAGCAGCCUACUUAAAGGGACAUCACCUGGAUGGCAGAGAAGCUUUUUCUUACCAGGACUAAGAAGAUCAAAGAAGAAAUCUUCUCGAGGUUUGGCCUGCUCAAGGUAAUCGAGGUUGAUGGUAAAACUGCCUUGUUGCUCAAAAAAAGUCAGGGCAUAGGUAAGACUGAAAAAAAUUACAUUGUACAUACAGACCCCAGAGUUCAGGACAGGUAAAAAGGAUAAAUAAAAACCCUUACCAAAUUAGCCUUUGGAAUCUGGCACUAGAGACUGGGUACAGCUCCUUCCCCUAGCCCCGUUCUGUGUACGAAACACCCCGUCUCAGCUUGGACUAACCCCCUAUGAGAUCCAAUAUGGGGGACCCCCCUCUUAGUUUCCUAAGGCCCCUCAUGACCCAUUUGCUCACAAACCCCAUCUGCAGGCGCGGUUGAAGGCUCUCCAGAUCUCCGAGCCCAGGCAUAGAGACCCCUGGCCACCCUGACACCUGGAAAUCUCGCAUUCGUUCCAGAAUUGACGCCUGGGGUAUAUCCGGAGGGACAUGAGAAAAGCUGCAGCACCCCACAGCCAGAACAGCAGCUGCCCGCUCAUACCUGCAAUCCAUGCCUCCUCAAGCCCUUGCUUUGAUACCCCUGCCCUUACCCCUGAUUUCUGUCAACUAGUGGCAGAGCUAGCCUCCUGGGAUAUCCGAGAUACAUAUCCCCCACAGCUGCCCCUGGAGGCUGGCAAAAGAUUUUCCCCUGGAGGAAAUAUUUGGACACGGGGGUUCAGACAUCUCCCCCACUUGUCUCCCAGGGGCGAGAGGCGGGACUGUCUCCAUGGGUGUCGGGAAGGACUUGGGACAUAAAAUGGUAUUUAUCUGACCAGAGCCUGCUGCUGCAGGCCAGACUAGACCCUCCCUAAAGGGGCCCUAGCUAUCCCUGCUGCUGCCCGCUGGACUAAGCUACUCUCCCUGCUUCUCUGCUGGCACCUCCCAACACCAGCCCGGGCACCCGGAAAUCUCACACCUGUUCCAGCCUGGAUCCAUGCAUCUCACGUCAAGCCUACACCUCCACAGGACGACCCAGGACCAUCCAAAUGAAAGUUUCAGCGUACCCAAAAUCCUCUCGCCUCUUGGGAGGAUACUGAGCAAACCCCUGGAAACUUUUAUCCUGUAUGCAAAUAUUCUGAAUGAUAUGUUUGUCCAGGGGGGAAAAAUAAUAUGGGGGGAGCGGCUAAAGUUUAUUGUGCUGUCUGGGGAUGUAAAACCAAUGUCAAUGUCUCCUGGUUGAGGGUUAACAAAAAGGACUUAGUCUCUUUCACCCGUACCACACCAGAAAAAAAGUCUGAAAUCACAAUCACUUUUACUGAGAAAAAAAAAAUCUGACAGGCAA
Molecule: long non-coding RNA, 3070 nt
Organism: Alexandromys fortis (reed vole)
Lineage: Eukaryota; Metazoa; Chordata; Mammalia; Rodentia; Cricetidae
Exons: 3
Source: RefSeq, a predicted model, not a curated record